This 1041-nucleotide long non-coding RNA is filed under the name Homo sapiens (human). RNAcentral's name for it is "ZBED3 antisense RNA 1". The record is from RNAcentral. Lineage: Eukaryota; Metazoa; Chordata; Mammalia; Primates; Hominidae.
GCUGUAGGCGCAUGAUGUCACAAGUUAUUGGAAGAAAUCCCUCCAACCUAGGUUGGGACAGAUGAAGGCGGCGCUUAUUGGUGUUCACCAAAACACCAGCAUGGUGUACCAGCUUUGGCUAGAUGAUGCUCAGAACACCAGAGACUGGGUAAUUAAUAAAAAGAAGAAAUUGAUCUGGCCUACAGUUCUGGAGCCUUGGAAGUCCGAGAUCAAGGAGCUGCAUCUGGGUUCUAGGAUGCCUCAUAAAGGCCCGUAGUGUACUUUCUGUCUACUUCACUUAGCUCCGCAUUUGCAAUUUCUGUUAACAUGCAUACAGUUGAAUGGAUGGCCAGGAUCAAAGCUAUCUGCUGUGAGACACAAUGAGAAAUGCUUUUGUGUAAAGGAAAACACAGAUCCUGGUGCCGAACAUGAGGACAGGGCAGGCCGAAGGAGAAAGUGGAAGGAGGGGAGCUUCUCUCUCAGCCUCAUCCUUCUGGGCCUGGAUGCUGGAGAGUCAUGAGGUGCUUCAGAGUACUCUGGGUGAGGAGGGAAAGAUGGUGCCCACCACAUGGAGGCCAGCCUAGGUCUUGUAUGAAACCUGUGAGGAGAUUCUCUCUCCCUUGCUGUCUUUGAAAAAGCAAGUUGCCAUGUGAAGAGGGCCAUAUAGCAUAGGAGCUGAAGGCAGCCUCCAACUGACGGCAAGAAAAUGAGGUCCUCAGUCUGACAACCUGCAAGAAACUGAAUGUUCUAAAAGCCACAUGAGCUUGGGAGCAGAUCUGACCCCAGCCAAAUCUCUGAAGUCCGCAGGCAGGAAAUGAAGAUCAGAAAAAGGCUAUUGUCUCAUGAAUAUGAGCCAGACUCCACAGAAGCUGGAGUCCUUCAUUAUGGAGCUAAACACAUACACCUGGCUUAGGAGUCAGAAAAACUGAAAGAGAAUUCAGGGAAGUAGAGAAAUUGCAAGCCCAGAUGCUGCUUCAUACCAAAGAAGCAAGUCAGCAGGUCAGCAACAAUGUGUAUCAGUUCCAAAAUGACUUACACAGGUACCAAGACAAGACAUUAUAU